UACGGGGGGGGCAAGCGUGGUUCGGAAUUACUGGGCGUAAAGGGCUCGUAGGCGGCCAACUAAGUCAGACGUGAAAUCCCUCGGCUUAACCGGGGAACUGCGUCUGAUACUGGAUGGCUGGAGUUUGGGAGAGGGAUGCGGAAUUCCAGGUGUAGCGGUGAAAUGCGUAGAUAUCUGGAGGAACACCGGUGGCGAAGGCGGCAUCCUGGACCGACACUGACGCUGAGGAGCGAAAGCCAGGGGAGCGAACAGG
This 253-nucleotide ribosomal RNA is filed under the name uncultured bacterium. RNAcentral describes it as "partial 16S ribosomal RNA". It matches the Rfam family "Bacterial small subunit ribosomal RNA", at positions 524 to 776 of the family's 1533-position model. The record is from RNAcentral.